Molecule: ribosomal RNA, 254 nt
Filed under: uncultured bacterium
Lineage: Bacteria
Description: partial small subunit ribosomal RNA
Rfam family: Bacterial small subunit ribosomal RNA
Source: RNAcentral
AGGACGAACGCUGGCGGCGUGCUUAACACAUGCAAGUCGAACGGAAAGGCCCUUCGGGGUACUCGAGUGGCGAACGGGUGAGUAACACGUGGGUGAUCUGCCCUGCACUUCGGGAUAAGCCUGGGAAACUGGGUCUAAUACCGGAUAUGACUACGAAUCGCAUGGUUUGUGGUGGAAAGCUUUUGCGGUGUGGGAUGGGCCCGCGGCCUAUCAGCUUGUUGGUGGGUGAUGGCCUACCAAGGCGACGACGGGUA